AAUCAUUCAGUCGAAGCAUCCCUGUCUAGAUCUGAUGCUUCGGUAACCCAGGAAACCGGACAAACCAAGAGUCGUUCAUUCGUCAGUCAGGCUCGCGGAGCCAAUCAUCGGAAAAAGUUGUUUCAGCGGAUUCUGGGGCAGACCGAUCAGGCAAGGGGUCUCCUUCGAUGAUUACUUUUGUUAAUCUGAGAACUAACCCCAUUUUAACCGCCUCAAGGCAUGCAAGGGCUUCCCCGGCGAAAGCCGAUCCCACAUUGUCGUGCACGUUUUAGACGCUAUUACCACACCCUUGCUAUUUCGAGCAACCUGCCCUGUACCUAAUCUACAUCGUUCCAUGACAAAAGCCGUAUCAAAGUUUACUUUGAUAAAAUCGGUAGGAGGAGGAUUCCAGAUGACUUUAUCACCCUGGACGACCGGAUGGCCCAAAGAGAGCAGCAAACAAUCCUUCGUUGAGUGUGCGAGCAGAUAUUAAAAACUACAGACAAAGGCAGAAGGCAUGAUCUACUGUUUCUGCUCCUCCCCCACAAAUGGUAUCCAUGCGGUAUUAAAAAUAGGGAUGGCUUCACUCGUAUCCACCCUCCAACCAGAACCAUCCUGAAGUACCUUUUUUGUUGCCUAGAUGCUUUUCCACGCAUACGAAGCAUUCACUUUAAGACAUGAAUUCAGAAAAUUAGAAUGUGGAUAAUAUUUCGCUUUCAAAACCUGCGCCAACAGAGAACUUGGAUUAGUCAUAAGACGCCACCCUUGUUUUGCAAGAAGGGCGAUAUUAAAUUUCGCAAAACUCCUAAAUUCCAUGCCACCAUUUUCUUUUAAUUCACACAUAAAACCCCAUCCACACCAAUGUAAGCCUCGUUUCCCAUGAGUCUUUUGCCACCAAAAUCAAGCCACAAUGCUCUCCAUCUCUUUACACAAGGAUUUCGGCAAAAGAAAAUAGCCCAUAGCAUAAGUAGGUAUUGCCUGCAACAUAGCUUUAAUAAACACUUCCUUGUCGCCUUGAGACAAGAAACGUGAACUCCAAUUAUCAAACUUUUGUUUCAUACAAUCUUUUAAAUACUGAAAGGAGACAUUCUUCCUUCUGCCCACUA
Long non-coding RNA from Gossypium raimondii (Peruvian cotton), 1085 nucleotides. RefSeq lists it as uncharacterized. The record is from RefSeq and is a predicted model, not a curated record. The transcript has 4 exons. NCBI's taxonomy places the organism in Eukaryota, Viridiplantae, Streptophyta, Magnoliopsida, Malvales, Malvaceae.